This 902-nucleotide ribosomal RNA is filed under the name Weissella confusa. RNAcentral describes it as "bacterial SSU rRNA". It matches the Rfam family "Bacterial small subunit ribosomal RNA", at positions 56 to 913 of the family's 1533-position model. The record is from RNAcentral. Lineage: Bacteria; Bacillati; Bacillota; Bacilli; Lactobacillales; Lactobacillaceae.
UGCAGUCGAACGCUUUGUGGUUCAACUGAUUUGAAGAGCUUGCUCAGAUAUGACGAUGGACAUUGCAAAGAGUGGCGAACGGGUGAGUAACACGUGGGAAACCUACCUCUUAGCAGGGGAUAACAUUUGGAAACAGAUGCUAAUACCGUAUAACAAUGACAACCGCAUGGUUGUUAUUUAAAAGAUGGUUCUGCUAUCACUAAGAGAUGGUCCCGCGGUGCAUUAGCUAGUUGGUAAGGUAAUGGCUUACCAAGGCGAUGAUGCAUAGCCGAGUUGAGAGACUGAUCGGCCACAAUGGGACUGAGACACGGCCCAUACUCCUACGGGAGGCAGCAGUAGGGAAUCUUCCACAAUGGGCGAAAGCCUGAUGGAGCAACGCCGCGUGUGUGAUGAAGGGUUUCGGCUCGUAAAACACUGUUGUAAGAGAAGAAUGACAUUGAGAGUAACUGUUCAAUGUGUGACGGUAUCUUACCAGAAAGGAACGGCUAAAUACGUGCCAGCAGCCGCGGUAAUACGUAUGUUCCAAGCGUUAUCCGGAUUUAUUGGGCGUAAAGCGAGCGCAGACGGUUAUUUAAGUCUGAAGUGAAAGCCCUCAGCUCAACUGAGGAAUUGCUUUGGAAACUGGAUGACUUGAGUGCAGUAGAGGAAAGUGGAACUCCAUGUGUAGCGGUGAAAUGCGUAGAUAUAUGGAAGAACACCAGUGGCGAAGCGGCUUUCUGGACUGUAACUGACGUUGAGGCUCGAAAGUGUGGGUAGCAAACAGGAUUAGAUACCCUGGUAGUCCACACCGUAAACGAUGAGUGCUAGGUGUUUGAGGGUUUCCGCCCUUAAGUGCCGCAGCUAACGCAUUAAGCACUCCGCCUGGGGAGUACGACCGCAAGGUUGAAACUCAAAGGAAUUGA